AUACGGAGGAUCCGAGCGUUAUCCGGAUUUAUUGGGUUUAAAGGGUGCGCAGGCGGCCAUUUAAGUCAGCGGUUAAAUCGUGGGGCUCAACCCCAUUCUGCCGUUGAUACUGGGUGGCUUGAUUGCGGUCGAGGUUGGCGGAAUUCGUUGUGUAGCGGUGAAAUGCAUAGAUAUGACGAAGAACACCGAUUGCGUAGGCAGCUGACCAGACCGCAAAUGACGCUCAUGCACGAAAGUGCGGGGAUCGAACAGGAUUAGAUACCCUGGUAGUCCGCACAGUAAACGAUGAAUACUUGUUUUCGGCGAUACAAUGUCGGAGGCAAAGCGAAAGCGAUAAGUAUUCCACCUGGGGAGUACGCCGGCAACGGUGAAACUCAAAGGAAUUGACGGGG
Molecule: ribosomal RNA, 392 nt
Filed under: uncultured bacterium
Lineage: Bacteria
Description: partial 16S ribosomal RNA
Rfam family: Bacterial small subunit ribosomal RNA
Source: RNAcentral